Molecule: long non-coding RNA, 1205 nt
Organism: Cygnus olor (mute swan)
Lineage: Eukaryota; Metazoa; Chordata; Aves; Anseriformes; Anatidae
Exons: 3
Source: RefSeq, a predicted model, not a curated record
GACCUGGGGUUUGCAGUUCUUGCACAGAACAGGUUUUUGAGCCUCUGCUGAGGUGCUCUGUCAGGUAAAGGGCUUUUUCCCCCUUUACCAGCCUCUAAUUCUUCAUCUCUUUCUCUAGGAUGGAUUUGCAGAAAACCUGCGCUAAAAACCAACCAGUGUCAUGUCCUGGAGCUGGCUGUAGGAGCCUCUAAGCCCCUUCAGCAGCCUGCCUUUCAAAAGGCACUUGAGAAACCUCUUUUGGGCCCCUCCAGGAGGGAGAACCAGCAGCUUGUGGAGGAAGGCACAAGACCCCUGAACAUCAAAGGCUGGAGCCUUCCCCUCUGCCCCCAGCCCAGCUCACAGUGGUGCCGUAUGCCCAUGAGGCUAUGAAAAAACAGAAGUUCUAAAGGAAAGACUUUUUUUUUCUUCCUACUGUGCUAAGCCAAGCCAGAGUCCCAUGGCUUCUUGCUCAGCCCAGGCAGCAAUGGGAUCGGGCGCUGUGGGGUGCAGAGGUGGGCCGGGGCACUGGCUUGGAACAGCUUUUCUGUUUUUCUCUGUGCAGCUAGGUUUGAGCGGCUGCUAGAGCCGGUCAGAAAUGGAAAAUCACUAUGGGAUGGCUUUGGGGUGGGAAUCUUUGUGUCAGUCCACCUUCUGUGGACUCUAAAGGGAAAAGUGGGCCUGUUUAAAAAUAUAUAUACAAAAAAGAAUCAGAUACGCUUCCAUAAACUUGUUUAUUUUUAAAAAUAUUUCUUGAUAAUUGCUGAGAAAUGCUUUCCACUUUCAAUAGAAAUGUGAAGAAUUGUCAGAAUCAAUAGUGAUAAUGCAGACUUACCAGGAGCUGAUCCUAAACAGAUUUUUUUGAGAGCUCUUCCAUUUAAAAGACUUGCACUUCAGAGGUCUGUUAAAUCAAAGCUGAUGCUCACAGAUUUCUGAUAGCAUGUUCAAAAAAAGGGGCUGUUAAUAUCUCCAAAGUUGGGAUUAGCUCAAAUUUCCUACUAGGGAUUGUGGUGCAGAAAGUAAAUAAAAUAGUGAGAAAUAAAAUCUGAAAUGGAAUGCAGUGUUAUUAAGAACAAUUUGCAAUUAGACAAAAGUUUCUCCAAAACUUUUAAUGACCUUUUCUAACAAAGGCUCCCAUUUAAGUAAGCUUUCUUCUAAUAUUUUUUUCAAAAAAGUAAAAUUAAACUAUUAAAGCCCAAGAGGUAGCAACAUGCUACUUCAGCCAAAUC